Molecule: ribosomal RNA, 250 nt
Filed under: uncultured bacterium
Lineage: Bacteria
Description: partial 16S ribosomal RNA
Rfam family: Bacterial small subunit ribosomal RNA
Source: RNAcentral
ACGUAUGUCGCAAGCGUUAUCCGGAUUUAUUGGGCGUAAAGCGCGUCUAGGCGGUUUAGUAAGUCUGAUGUGAAAAUGCGGGGCUCAACCCCGUAUUGCGUUGGAAACUGCUAAACUAGAGUACUGGAGAGGUAGGCGGAACUACAAGUGUAGAGGUGAAAUUCGUAGAUAUUUGUAGGAAUGCCGAUGGGGAAGCCAGCCUACUGGACAGAUACUGACGCUAAAGCGCGAAAGCGUGGGUAGCAAACAG